UGACCCAAGGCCUGCUUUCUGAUCCAGCACCUGGACAGGCCCGUCUAGCCAAGGGAGGGGCCCCACUCCUUUCUGAGCAGGGGUGAAGGGACUCAUGGAGGUGCUUGUUCUGAACCUGUCCCCACAGGAAGACCCCGGUGUGGGAUUCAAAGGACUGGUUCCUACCAGAGCCGGUGCUGGGGUGAUCACAAGUGAGACAGAAGAGCAUCAAGGCAUUGGCUCAAAGCACCAGAGAAGUUAGCGAGGGGCCAGCACCUGAACCUCAAACAGGAGGACUGUUGCUUGCUGUCAGGUCGUUGGUUCUCCUGAGGCUGGGACAGACAGACAUGCAGGAUGGGGCGGUAUCUGUCCCACUAACCAUGGUCCACUCUGGCUGGUGUUUGGCUGAAGAGCACAAACAAGAGAAGAAAGCUCCCCUGGAGUAGCUGCCUCUCCAGCAGUGGUACAGUGUCCUCCUCAAGCCAAAGAAGAUGAAGGAUAACACUUGAUUUGGGGAGCCUAAGCUGGGGUCUGAUUUCCAGAGGGGCUCAGCACCCAUGGGUCCCACUGACUUCUGGGGGAAUGAGGGUGCUAAACGGGCUCAAGAUGGGCACCCGAAACAUCAGAGGCCACUUUUGAAAGUCCUGAUUUCACCAUGGCACCUCUGCAGGAUUCUACCAUCCAAGUUCUUUCUCUUGUGUUUGCAGAGGGCAGCAACUCAUAACCAGCCCACAAUUUGGCUACUUUCAAUCCUUACUACAGCAGAACCUCGUUAGUUUGCACUAAAGACAGGCGUCUCCAGCAGUGUCUGCAGGACUGAGCCCUUAGAUUUUACGUUCUUCGGAGUAAGGACUCUGUCUUUCUUUGAAAGUCCUGUUUAUAUCCAUAUGGCGCUAGGCAAUCAAUAACCAAUGAUAAUGACAGAGCAAACAGUAGGAAAACAAGGAUCAGACAUUGCAAAAAUCUGACCAGUUAUUUAAUCAUCUAUUUAUUAUUUCUGUUGUGGUAUGGCCCACUCAUAGUCAGGGUCCCCAUUAUACUUAUCUGCUCACCUGUCCUACCACAUCACGAACAGGCCCCUCUGCCCAGCCAACCGUAGCAGACUCCAAUGCCCCUUGCCUCUUUGAGCACCUUCUCCCAUGCUGCUCCUUAUACCUAGAAUGCUCUCUGCAAUUCAGUUCAUUCACCCUCUUUCAAAUCACUUCUCAAGUCCCAUUUCUACGGUGAUGGCCUUAGCUAGCUAGAUACGGGUAACAGGUAGGCAGGCGGCCUGUUGGAAGAGCCACUGAAACCUUGUGUUCAUUUAUUCUGGUGUCUGUGUACAUAUGAUUAUUUUAAAUUGAAGACUGUAAAUUAUACAUGUAGCUAAAUACCGGCAACGCUGUGUCCCUAUUUCUGCUACACACGCUGCUCCCAUCCCCCAGACACACUCUCCCUGUGUUACACACCCACCUGUUAAACGCUGUUCUUAUUGUAGACUGUAAAUUCCUUGGGGCAGAGACUAUCUUUAUAAUUAUAUGUUUGACCAGCACCCAGCAAACUGAGGCACCGAUCCUGAUGAUGGUCUGUGUGGCGACACCACGCACAGAUAAUAAAUAAUGAUAAGAAUACUACGGUACUAGGACACAGAGUCCCUGAUUAAUCCCUGGUGUAAUUUCACUGAAGUCAGAGAGUUCGGCAGAGACUUGUAUUGAAUGCCUUUGUCAGUGACCUCCCCAAGGCCAGAGAGGGAACGGGGCUUACAGCAGAGCUUUGGCACCUGGCUCCCUGCCAUGGCCUGGAACAGGUCUCUCUGUAACCAGAGCUUGUAGAAUACAUUUAGUACAUUUAGGACCACUUAUUAAAAAGCUAAUUAAAGCAGUUAAUCCUUUAUGAGAUUCCAUCAUUAGUCAAUCAUAUCACUGUAGUCUGUAACAGAACUCUGAUAGUCAUCUGGCACAUAUAAUGCAUGCAGCACAACCACAUGUUUAAAGAGCAUUAUCAUUAUUAUUUGUUUAGUGUCAACACUGGUGGGUGCGGCCCAAGACCAAAGAGAAAGAGAGACACUUCCCACCCCAAAGAGUUUAGCAUCUCAGAGCCCAGACACUCCGUCUGGAAUGCUGUGCUUUUUGUGUGUUUUGCAACAAAUUCUACCCCCAAAAAAAUUAAAAUUCUGCACACAUUUUAAAA
Molecule: non-coding RNA, 2148 nt
Organism: Chrysemys picta bellii (western painted turtle)
Lineage: Eukaryota; Metazoa; Chordata; Testudines; Emydidae
Source: RefSeq, a predicted model, not a curated record